This 550-nucleotide ribosomal RNA is filed under the name Funneliformis mosseae. RNAcentral's name for it is "SSU rRNA". It matches the Rfam family "Eukaryotic small subunit ribosomal RNA", at positions 548 to 1098 of the family's 1831-position model. The record is from RNAcentral. Lineage: Eukaryota; Fungi; Glomeromycota; Glomeromycetes; Glomerales; Glomeraceae.
UUGGAGGGCAAGUCUGGUGCCAGCAGCCGCGGUAAUUCCAGCUCCAAUAGCGUAUAUUAAAGUUGUUGCAGUUAAAAAGCUCGUAGUUGAAUUUCGGGAUCAAUAUUUCGGUCAUGCCGUUGGUAUGCACUGUUAUCAUUGAUUUCUCACCUUCUAAAGAACCGUAAUGCCAUUAAUUUGGUGUUACGGGGAAUUAGGACUGUUACCUUGAAAAAAUUAGAGUGUUUAAAGCAGGCUCACGCUUGAAUACAUUAGCAUGGAAUAAUGAAAUAGGACAUCCGAUUCUAUUUUGUUGGUUUCUAGGAUCGAUGUAAUGAUUAAUAGGGAUAGUUGGGGGCAUUAGUAUUCAAUUGUCAGAGGUGAAAUUCUUGAAUUUAUUGAAGACUAACUACUGCGAAAGCAUUUGCCAAGGAUGUUUUCAUUAAUCAAGAACGAAAGUUAGGGGAUCGAAGACGAUCAGAUACCGUCGUAGUCUUAACCAUAAACUAUGCCGACUAGGGAUCGGAUGAUGUUAAUUUUUUAAUGACUCAUUCGGCGCCUUACGGGAAAC